RNAcentral lists this transfer RNA (69 nucleotides) under Podarcis lilfordi (Lilford's wall lizard). RNAcentral's name for it is "tRNA.Ala". It matches the Rfam family "tRNA". From Rfam's summary of the family: Transfer RNA (tRNA) molecules are approximately 80 nucleotides in length. Lineage: Eukaryota; Metazoa; Chordata; Lepidosauria; Squamata; Lacertidae. The record is from RNAcentral.
GACAUAGCUUAGGGGUAGAGCAUCUGCUUUGCAUGCAGAAGCUCACAGGUUAAAUCCCUGGCAUCUGCA